Molecule: ribosomal RNA, 473 nt
Filed under: uncultured bacterium
Lineage: Bacteria
Description: partial 16S ribosomal RNA
Rfam family: Bacterial small subunit ribosomal RNA
Source: RNAcentral
AACGAACGCUGGCGGCAGGCCUAACACAUGCAAGUCGAGCGAGGACUUCGGUCCUAGCGGCGGACGGGUGAGUAACGCGUGGGAACGUGCCCUUUGCUUCGGAAUAGCCCUGGGAAACUGGGAGUAAUACCGGAUGAGCCCUUUGGGGGAAAGAUUUAUCGGCGAAGGAUCGGCCCGCGUUGGAUUAGGUAGUUGGUGGGGUAAUGGCCUACCAAGCCGACGAUCCAUAGCUGGUUUGAGAGGAUGAUCAGCCACACUGGGACUGAGACACGGCCCAGACUGAGGAGGGAGGGAUGAGUGAGUAGACUUAUAGAAGGAGGAAACAGGUGAUGUAGCGGGUCUGCGUAAGAGAGGACGGGGUUGGGGUUGAAAAAUUUGUGGAGGGGGGAAAAUAAGGACGGGAGCAGCAGAAGAGGCGCCGGCAACCUCAGUGCGAGCGGCCGCGGGAAUAAGAGGAAAACACAAGUAUGAGC